Long non-coding RNA from Brassica rapa (field mustard), 1447 nucleotides. RefSeq lists it as uncharacterized. The record is from RefSeq and is a predicted model, not a curated record. Lineage: Eukaryota; Viridiplantae; Streptophyta; Magnoliopsida; Brassicales; Brassicaceae.
AAUAAAAGGGGUAUGAUUUAACUAUAUAUAGUAAUGUCAAAUGGGUGGGCUAUAAAUGGGUGGCCCGUGUCCAAAUAGAUAUGGACCGAAAUGGACAAGCCCAUAUUGAACCAUAAAUAAUUUUUGUCCAAAUGGAUGAACCCAACUACAUCUAUGGCCAAAUUUGGGCUUAACCAGUUGGACAAUGGGCGGCCCAAUAGGAUUAAAUGUCUAGGGUUUGAGAAUUGGGGAAAACACAAUUUUUUUUCUCACGAGUCGUGAGAGACAGAGAGAGCGCUUCUGCGAUUCUUCUUCGAUUCUUCUUUCUCAUUUUCGAUUCCUCUUCCUUGUGUUCGAUUCGUCUUCCUCUUCUUCGUUCUUCUUUUGUUCUCCUUCGAUUCCUUUGAUUCUCCUUCGAUUUCUGAGGCCAAAAACAAUCCUAAUCCCUUCGAUGGCCAGAAACAAGCUUUUGUGGUUGUGGGUCGAGUCAGCACUGGCAUAGAAGCAAAACUAAAGGUGCUUUACGGGUCUGGAGCUAGGAAGUUUGCGAGAAGCUGUUGCAGCUCUUGGUUGACCUCUCACGAAGGUGAUUUCGAAGAUGAAGAUGAGAUUGAGGAGAAUGAAGAUGAAAAUAAAGAAGAACUGUGUUUAAAAUGGCGCUCGCCUUUUGCGCCAUGGCGCGAGGCGCACUCAGGCGACGGCUCCAUCGCCAUGUACCUCCUAGGCGAGGGUGGGUUCCGUAAGGCGCUCGCCAAGUGCGCAUUGGUCAUAAGGCGGUGCCUUAAAAGGCAACGCAAAGGCGAGCCAUGGAGACGAUGACGUUAACCGAUACUAAACCACGUAGAAACCCUAACUUAAUAAAUGGACCAACCUUAAACCAAACUUAAAACCAAACGUCUAAAAACUUAUCAAAACCCUAGCUUGCUCUUGUAGAAAAGCAAAGUUAAAAACUUAACAAAACAUGGAUCUCACGGACUGUGUUUUGCAUAAGGUUAGUACGUACUCUCUUCUCUAAUCUCAUGGGGCUUUCUUCUGAUAAAAACUAUUUAAUAAAGGCAAAAUCACGUGAAUGAAAUUUGUAUAUUACGCACGGAUACAUAACUAACGUAGUCUUCAAGUGGGUCUUCAAGGCGAGCGCUUUCUUGCGCCAUGGCGCAAGGCGCAAGGCACACACCUUAUCGCCUUGGAUCGCCAUGCGCCAUUUAAAACACAGAAGAAGAAGGAGAACAAGAACAAGAAGACGGUGGAAGAAAGAAGAAGAAGAAGGUGGUGACCAAGUGAAGAAAUGAAACCCUCUUUGUUAUAAAACAAUGUUAUGAACUUGUGAACUGAUGUAUUUUCACUUUUCAAUGCUGUGUGAACUUGUGUUUUUUUUAUCACUUUGAACUUAUCUUUUGAAUUUAUCUUGUGUUUUUUUAUAACUUUGAAACAUGAAGUUGAAAACACAAGUAUAUCAAAUUUAUAAAUC